Protopterus annectens (West African lungfish) is the source of this 902-nucleotide long non-coding RNA. RefSeq lists it as uncharacterized. Lineage: Eukaryota; Metazoa; Chordata; Ceratodontiformes; Protopteridae. The record is from RefSeq and is a predicted model, not a curated record. The transcript has 2 exons.
CACAGGUUGUGGAAGAUGGUUAUGAGUUCUUUGCCAAACGCCAGUUGGUUACGCUAUUUUCUGCCCCGAAUUACUGUGGUGAAUUUGACAAUGCAGGUGCCAUGAUGAGUGUGGAUGAGACCCUCAUGUGCUCUUUCCAGAUCUUGAAGCCAGCAGAUAAGAAUAAACCCAAGUAUGGCCAAUUUAGUGGACUUAAUCCGAGUGGGCGCCCUGUCACACCACCAAGGAACUCUGCAAAAGCCAAGAAAUGAUCGCUCUGCCUGUUGUGCAUCUACUGUAUUUUUUUAUUAUCUUCUAUUAUGAAAUACUGAUAUGGAGGGAAAAGCGGUGGGAUAUUUGAGGGAGGGAGGAUCAUCAGUCCGUCAAGGGGUGAGAAUCAUGGUGCUUUUUAUGGGGGUACUGACAACACUGUACAAUUUCUGUUUUUAGAUAUCUUGUCAGUGGUGGUAGUGCAGCAGUGUGUGGACCACAAAUUACACUUGAGCCCCUAAUCUGUUCUCAGGCCAGUCAUUUUGAAAACCAAAAUAAAGACAAUGAGUAUGUAAAUAAAGUCACAUGUAUCAUUUGCAUGUGCACAUGCUUUUAUAAUUAUUGAGGACGGAGCAGUGGCCUUACUUUAUACAGUGUUGUAACCAAUUGGCCUCAGGGUGUUAAAUAACCUAGUAGAGGUUUUGCCCGUCACUUAUCCACCCCUUGGGUUGAAUAUUCUAUCAUUUGUAUUUACAGUAGAUUGACAGCUGUACCAUUGACAACUCAUUUUUUUAGUAUGGCUAACUUGUAUAGAGCCACAGGCAACCGCUGCAACUGCUGUUUUUCUUAUAGCUCUUAUUUUUUUAUUUUGUACCCCAUAAUCUUGUAUCUGUAAAAGCUGAAGUUGAUAAAUGUUGCCUUUCGGAUGUUAA